AACCAUAAACAUGCACCAAUUUUUCAAUGGGUACUCUGAAGGCCUCUUGGAUAGUGAAGGCCGGCCCAAAAUUUUGAAGUUGGAGGAUUGGCCUCCAACUGAAUCCUUUCAAGAACGGCUGCCUCGGCAUUUCGUGGAGUUCAUUAGAUGCUUGCCUUUCAAGCUAUACACGCAUCAAGAUGGCUACCUCAACAUGCCAGCGAAAACACCGAAGAAGUCGUUGAAGCCCGAUUUGGGUCCAAAAAUAUGCUUUGCUUAUGGAGUCAAUGAGGACCUUGGAUUCUGUUCUACAACCAAGCUUCAGUAUGCUCUUUCAGAUAUUGUACAUUUUUUUUCUGUUAUUAUCUCUCUUUAUUAACUUGAAUAUGUAUGAGAAUAUAUGAACUGCUUUAAAUCAUUUCCGGUUAGUCUGCCUAUUGCAUCGAUAGAAGCAGUACAUCUCCGAAAGAAUAUUCUUAUGAAGUCCUGGGUAUUUAUAUCUAUUCAACGCAGUCCUAAUUCUUCUUUCUUGCAUGUAACAUGGUAAUCUUAAUUGUUGACUCAUUAUACGCAAGGUAGAAUUAUGUUGAAUGUGCUUUAGACUUGAGUUUCAGUUAGGAAUAAUAGUCAUGAAAAUAUUCGGAAUAAUGUAGAGGCAUAAAAGUUCGAUCACAAACUAUUUCUUGAAGAAGAGAAAUGGAUUUGUUGUGAGCCUCAAUGGUUCUUGAAAUAUGACAUAGUCAUAUAAUUGAUACUAACAUAAUGUUAGUUUUAAUACUAAUUUCAAUCAUAGUUUUAAUUCAAAUUAUAAUCCUAAUAUAAUGUUAGUCUUAAUCUUAAUAAUAAUUCUAAUCAAAAUCUUAAUCCUAAUAAUAAUACGAAUCAUAAUUCUAAUCCUUAUAGAAAUGCAAAUAUGCUAAUUCUAACGGUAAUCUUAAUACCAAUCUUUAUAUGCUAAUGUAUGGUUAUGCAAAUCCUAAUUCUAAUUAUAAUUCUAAUCAUAAUGUUGGUCUUAAUACUAAUUCUAAUCAUAAUGCUAAUCCUAAUAUUAAUAAUAAUUCUAAUAUGUUAAUGCUAAUACUAAUACUAAUCAUAAUAUACUAAUGCUAUUACUAAUACUAUUACUAAUAUUAAUUAGCUAAUGCUAAUAUUAAUAUACAAAAUGUUAAUGCUAAUACUAAUACUAAUAUACUAAUAUUAAUCUUAAUAUAUAAUGUACUAAUACUAAUACUAAUACUAAUAUAUUAGUACCAAUGCAUACCAAUAUCAAUACCAAUACCAAUACCAAUAUCAGUACAAUUAUUAAUAUCAAUACCAAUACCAAUACCAAUAUCAAUACCAAUACCAAUAUCAAUACUAAAAUGCCUAAUUGGGCCAGCCCAAUGGGCCUACAAUCUCUUUACCUAUUGGGCCACGAGCCCAAUAUCUAAGACUAUUAUCACCGAGGCCCAAUCACCUUCAAAUAAUGUUUGGGCCCAACAAUCUCAUCUAAGCUAUAAAUAAAGGUUUGAACUCAUUCCUCAAGGUACGUCCUAUUAACUGAGCAAUACUAUUAACUGUAUUCUCUGGACUAUUUCUAUGAUCAGCACGUCUGACUUGAGCGUCGGAGGGGUUUCCGCCGGAUCAACCCCCGGCUUAGUUCAUGUGUUCUAUGAUCGCAGGUACCUCAGGAUCAUCAAGUUGUCAAGCUACUGAUCCGCUUUGCUCUCCCAGUUUAUUUUCUCCACUACCCCAGGUGAUCUAAGUAAUUAACAUCAUCAUUUUGGCGCCGUCUGUGGGAACGAUGCAAACCAGAUCACGUAGCCAACAAGAUGCUCCUGAGGCGUCUGCUCGGAGAGAAGAUGACACAGCUAACGACCUCCCACCUCGUGGAGGCUCUGGCUUGCCGUCUCCUCCACGUCCCAUGGAUCCGCCUCGCGAGGUUCAGAUGAUCCCCCAUCGGGACCAACCACUCGCCGAUCCACCACUCCCUGCUCCUCGAAUGGUUCAAAUAACCGAGGAUGCGUUCCAACGCAUGAUGGCACAAGCUUCAACUCGCGCUGCCACAGAGGCCGUGACCCAGUAUAUCGCCACGAUGGGAGCAAAUGCUCCCAACGCGAUACCAACACCUGCUCCACAUGUGGAGCCACCUAUGGCACCACCGCCAUCGACUCUCUGGGGGCUUACAUCUGCCCCCAAAAUAUUUCACUCGCCAAGGGUUAUCGACUCCCUGGGGGCUUACAUCUGCCCCCAAAAUAUUUCGUUCGCCAAGGGUUAUCGACUCCCUGGGGGCUUACAUCUGCCCCCAAAAUAUUUCGUUCGCCAAGGGUUAUCGACUCCCUUGGGGCUUAAAUCUGCCCCCAAAAUAUAUCGCUCGCCAAGGGUUAUCGACUCCCUGGGGGUAUACAGUGCCCCCAAAACAUUUCGUUCGCCAAGGGUUAUCGACUCCCUGGGGGUUUAUAGUGCCCCCAAAAAAUAUAACAUUCCAAGGGGUGAACAUCAACCACCAAGAAAAAAAAUCAAAGAAGAAGACGAAAAAACAGAAGAAGAAAGAAAAAGAAUGAAGAAGAUGAAAAAAUAGAAGAAAAAAGAAGAAGAACAAAGAAGAAAAAAGAAGAUGAAAAAAUACAAGAACAAGAAAAAAAAAAACAAAAAAAAAAAUCGGGCACGAUUCCCGAGGCAGCCGCGGGCACGAUUCCCGAUGCAGUGCGCGGGCACGGAACCAAUAUUAUUAGGGUGGAAUACUGACCCAUGGUUAUAUCAAACCAAAAACAAUUAUUAUAUGGCAAAGAAAAUUACAAGAAACAACUUGUAAAUUCCCGAAGGUUGUUGUAGAACAUCGAUGGAGAAUCGAUCUUGAAGAACUCAAAAUCAUUCAUUAAACUUUGUGUACGGAAGCUAUGUAUACAACCUAUUUAUAAGUGUUUCAAAGUCUCAUUUCUUACAAAAAAAAAAAGAGUUCAUACCUUUACUAUAAUAAGAAAACUAACAAUUAAGCUAAUUCUAACCAUAAACGAAUUCUAAGUGUUGCUUUUUCUUGAAAAUUAUCAACUAUACAUCAUUUUUCUUAAUUGGUGGAGAUUUGGGAAUGCAUGUGCAACAACUUUGAGCCCAUUUUGUCCAUCUUGCAUUCCGUCUGUUUUUAAAGCAUGAAACUUCAAGAUCUUUUGUUGGUUUUGCGUAACAUUUUGAAUCAUAGCAAUCCAAUAUCGGACGUGAGAGUUAUGAUCCGAAUUGAAAAAUUGCGAGAGACAUCCGAGAUUUUGGACGCAUGACGACUUCCUUUCUUUAUUGCCUUCGAAUUCCUCAUCAUGGGGACCUUAAAGUAUUGAUUCAAGUUUAUAUUCUUCACGGCCAACUCCCACAAGAUCACGAAUUCUCUCUUCUCCCAAUUCUUCCAAAUCUUCAUCUUCAAGCAUGUCAAGAUCGUAUCAGAAGGAGAAUCUUCAGAAGGAGUAGGAAAAGCUUUAGAGAGAGAAGAAAUGUUGGCGUCUUAUAUACCUAGAACACACAAGUAUUACAUGAGGAUGGUCAAAGCUCUUUAAAUGAGAAAAAUUGUUUCCAUAUUAAUAAUGCAUAACGAUGAAAUUCUUCUCCGCGAGUUGAUAUUAUGAUGAUUGAACUUAUUAACUUCUAAUACUAUUUUAAUACAUAAAUUAACUUCUUAAGAAAGUGAUCUUAAAUUAUAGGAAUUUCGAGUUUCUAAAAUACCGUUAGACCGUACUAAAUAGAAAAUACGGAUUAAGACUAUAAAGUAUAAAAUAACCUAUUAUUAUCUUCAAUAAAAAUUAUGUUGAAAGUGGUUCGUUAGUAAACCUUCUUAUUGGGAGUAGAAAGAGUAAUCUCUCAAUACUUCAAGUUUCAUAUAUGAAGCGAGUCAAAAUGGGUGAGGGUAUUUUCUAUAAAUAGUAAAUACUAUAUACAUAUACAUAUGGUAAAUAAAAGGAUAUUAUAGAUCCGCCAUAGAAUUUAUCAAAUUCUCAUACAAGGUAUUGAAUCUAAUACAAUGAUUUUGUUGUAUCUAGGUAUCGAGUAGGAACGACUUUUUCAUAACGUAAGUUGUUUUAAACUUUAGCCAAGGAUCUUGCUUCUAGAUUGCAUUUGGUCGACUUCGUGCAAAAAUAGUACAUGUAGAGUUAAAAUGAGAUAUAUUAAAUAGUUCACUAGAUACUUACUCUAGUAUGCGAUGUUACAAACGUAAUUUUUUGCUAUUACUCGAUCACCCUAGAUUUGAGCUAUAUAUCAUAUUAACAUUCGAGCAAGAUAAACAUAGAAAAUUUCUAAUAGUCGUCAAAGGAAUGUUUGUUUCCUUUUAUGUUUGAUAUGAUUCCUAACUACGUAAAGACUUUAACUUAAACUACUAAAUAGUUUAAUAGGUAAAGAUAUUUAUUUUGGUGUUAUAUGUUACCCAUGUAAGCUUUGUGCUUUAUUUUGGUGCUUGUUCAUAGAAAGUUUAUGCUAGUUGUCGAAGGAAUCUUGGAGUCUUUCUCGAUGUUUAAUAUUUUGUUACCUAAAUCAUUCAACUUAACCUUGUUGAUUGCACUCAAGAUCUCUUUCUACCAUUGCCUACGUUGUUCGUAUGGAACAUACGAACAUGUUACUACAACAAGUGAUCCUCCUUUUGUUGAUUCUAACUUUCCUCUCUUUUUUAAUUUUGUUUUAGGUCAAUGUCUUGAUGCAUACAGCUGAAACGUCUCUUAAUCCGGAAGAGCUUUCAACAAUAGUGCAGUUGAGAAGGAAGCACAUUGCCCAAGAUCCAGUUGUAUUUUCUGUAAGCAACGGGAAACCAAAUCAAGAUGCCACGAGAAAUCAACAAUUUGAAAGGGAAAAUAAAAAUAAAGGAAAGGAAAUAUUUGAUCCUUCAACCUCAGGAAACAACGAUCAAAGCUUCGAUGAACAAAAAUGUGGUGCUAUCUGGGACAUUUUUCAGAGGAAAGAUGUUCAUAAGUUGGAACACUAUCUUCGGAGGCAUUACGGAGAGUUCAGGCGUAUCGUCCCUUUGCAGCAAGUAAUUAAAUCUUGACUUUGAAAACAAUGUUCUACUUAACUUAUUCUGUUAUGGGGUUUAUCUCUUAUAUGGUAGUUACUAUUGUUUUUCUAACAGAAUUCUAAAAAUCAAAAUUUUAUUAAGAUUUUGGUAUGAUCUUUUAUUGUCGUAGGCUAAGUAGAUAAAUGUCUUUUAUUUUUCCAAAGUAUUGAUAUGUUUUGGAAUAUUACUAAUUUAUUUUUUCCUCUAUUCAAGCACAGCUGGUUAAUCAUAUUCAUGAGAAACCAUUUUACUUAACAAUGGAGCAUAAAAGGAAGCUGAAAAAUGAAUAUGGUAUGUUUUUAUUGUCUUGUAAAGUGGUAUAUGUGUGAAUCUGUAUAUAUUGAUUAUCUAUUUUAUAUAUUUUUUUGUAGGAAUUGAACAAUGGACCUUUGUCCAGAGAUUAGGCGAUGCAGUUUUGGUACCAGCUGGCUGCCCGUACCAAGCUAGAAACUUAAAGGUUUGAGUGUUUGACUCGUAUAAACUUCGUGAACGACGACUUCAAUUAUUUUCAGUCGAAUGUAAAUUUUUUGCUGUGAAUUUUGCAAUUAAUUUUUGUGUGCGUGUUCCAUCUUGCAGUCGUGUACGAGUAUGUCCAUCGACUUUGUUUCAGCUGAAAGCGUCGGUCAGUGCAUCCACCUAUCAACGGAGUAUCGGCGUCUCCCAAAGAAUCAUAGUUGUAAGGAAGACAAGCUGCAGGUAUGUAAAAAAUAUGAUUUCUUGUCAAUAAACAAAAUCAAAGAUAUAUAAUGAAUAAAAUUUGUCUGCUUGUAAGAAAACAAAGAUUGUGGACGAUAUCUAACUGCUCGUAAAGAAACAGGUGAAGGGAUUGAUUCUCAGUGCUGUCUGCCAAGCUGUGCAGUACUUGGACAAGAUUGAUGCGUAAGUCAAUAUAUACAUAGGUUUGUUAAACAUAUGUCUUUGAUACGAUGUUAAUUUAUUUUAUUUUGUUCUUUCCCAGUAUGACGUUAAGAAGUCAAUUUGCACCCCCCCUUUGAGCAUGGGAAUGUACGCCAAAAUCCAGCUCAACAAUGGGAGAGACCUAGUAUUUUACAAAUGAGGAGGGAGUUGGAGAGGAUGAAAUUGGCUCUCGAAACGAAAGGAUACCUUUUUAAACCACAUAUGAAAGAGUAUCUCUUAAAAUAGAUAACGCUCCUCACUAAUAAAAUAAUCUCUAGUGCUGGCUCUUCUUCAUCUUAGUUACACCAUUUUUAACGGUUAGCCUGAAUAAAAUUUUGACAUUUUCAUAUGUGGAACUAUACUUUAUAAUUUUGUGCCAUACUUUUGUCCGAUUUCAUGAAUUUCGAAUUCGAGUUGGUCUUGGCAUGAUGCAGGCUAAUGAUUCUGUUUUUUUUUAUCUGUUUGCUAAUGUUAUGUUUGCUGAAUGCACAGGCCUGUUAGCAGUGGAUAUUGGGUUUAGGUGCUCAUGAGAAAUUCACAAAACGUAGUAAGGUACUAUCAAACCCGUCCGGUAUAUUUUAUAUCUUUCCAAAAUGUAUAUUGUUGCCAGCUAAGAUUGGUCAACGCUGAUACAUUAGAUGAGCUGGCGUGGCGUGGCUGCAUAAGGCACAAUUUAUUGCGAAUCGCUGCAUUGGCUGCCGGCCUUAUCACGGUAGACUUUCUCACCAUUAUAUAACACUCGUUUUCCCUUCCCCAUUCAUUCCCAUAUCUCGCAUCUCUCUAUUCCUCUUUCAGUUUUCUUCUCAUCAUUUUCUCACACAUAUUUGUAAGUUUUUUAUUAGUUUUCGAAUGAUGACCCCACCCCCCCCCACCCCCACCCCCCCCACCCAGUUGUAUUCACCAUUUAAUUUUCCAUCUUCCAACUAUUUUAUAUAAUUGAUGAUUUUUGAUUUAUUCUGGUUCAAAAUCAGAUGCAUUUCGUUUAAUGAGAUACGCAAUUUAUUUUUGUUUUUGUUUUUGAUUUUGUACUUUUCGAUCUUUCAUCCCCCUCCCGAGUUGAUUAACUUAACCAUUUAUUUCUAGUAAUAUUCAUUUCUCUGGAUAUUCUUGAAAACACGACAACUUUUACUUUGGAUUAGAAAGAGUACUCACGUAGAUCAUAUAUUUUUGUCAUUUCGAUUUGCAGAUUAGUUUUCUACGACUAACUUUUGACUUUUGUGUCCUAGCUAUCUUUCUCCUCUUUCUGAUGACCCUUUUCUUUUUUUCUUUUUUUCUUAUUGUGAAGUUACCAAUGAAGGAAAAUUAAGAUGAAGCGGCCCAGUCUGAAGGUAAAUUUCGUAAUUACAAUCUUGGCACUUCUCUAAUAUGAUUUAUCCAACAAUCAAAAAAAUUGUAAUGUGAAAUAUGUGAUUGGUUAUGACACCUUUGCUCGUUUUACGCUCUAUUGUUUGUUGGAUUAUUUACAAAUUAACUUUCUAAAAAUAAAGAUGUUCGUAUAGCUUAAAUCAUCAAUUAAGGUCUUAUUUAUUGUAAUCGUUUCUUGACGUGAAGAUCUUUAUGUGCACUCUUAAUGUUUUAUUACAAUUUUAAUUCAUGAAUAUAUAUGUUGUUUCUACCCUUUUUAUCGGCUACGUAUCAUUUCUUAUUCCAGGGGAAAUACGUAUACCUAGUCUUGCAGAAGUGAAGAGGGAAUUGGAGAGGAUGAAAUUGAUUCUCAAAACAAAAGGCCACCUUAUUGACCCUCAUAUGAAAGCCUAUCUUUUGCAAGAGAUUUUGCGCCUCCUUCCGCCGCCGAGUCUUCAACGUCUCAGUGACAGCAUAUCUACCGAUGCGUUAACGUUUUUCAUACUUUAAUUUUGAGCAAUAUUCUUUUUUUUUUUGGUUUCGUUUUUUGUGAGUUUGGCGAAUCAGCUUGACAUGAGUGAACUGUUUGUUUUUUUAUUAUAAAAUAUAUCUUUAAUUUCGUAGCAAGAUAUUGUGUUAGUUGUAGCAGUUUCAUUUUCUCCUACAUUAUAAUUCAUACCAUAAUUCAAUUUUCUUAAUAAUAUUAAACGGAUGAGUAUCAAUGUUUUAAAAAUCGGAUCGGACAUUGACGGGAACAAGCUACUGGAUCAUGGUUGGACCGGUUUAACCGGUUUUUUCAUUUUUUAUACACAUCUUUAAGUAUACAAAACAUAUUUUUUUCACACAUUAACUCAUUACUCAUUUUUCAUGGUUGGACCGACUUAUUUUUAUUUUACACACAUAACAUAUCAACAAACACAUAUGACACCGAAUCAUAGUAAAAAGACAUCGUUUUGGCCAUUUUAUUUGUUUAUUUUUAUUAAGAAAAAACAAUUUUAGGAAGAAAAAAAAACCCGGUUUUCACUCGGGUUUUGAUAUUACAUUUCAACCUGUCAAACUGGACCGGACAAGACAAUGAUUCGCGAUUUAAUCGGUUGAACCAGCCGGUCCAGUCCAGUUCAAAACACUGAGUAUAAUACAAUUUGAUAAACUUCCAAACCAUCACGCAACUGCAGCUGCUUAUGCAGUGCCAUUUUAUUUGAUCUUUUCUAGUACAUAGUUUAUGUAACAAUAAAAUAAAAAAUAAUGUAUCUUAUUUUCAUUAUUUGAUAUUUUCUUAUAUUAGGAUUGGAGUAUUUUUUUUUAAGAAAAUUAAAUCAUGCGACAAAUUAGAAAGUAGGAGAGUGACAUGAUUUAUUACGUACUCUUUAACUUAACGACGAGCUAGUAACAACUCUCAUUAUAAUAUUAGUCUAAAAUUUAUAUAGCGAACAAUGGUAGUAGUGAUGCUAAAAUUCAAUAUACAAUUAAACCUCCAUAAAUUUAUACAGUCGGGACUAGGGGAAUUCUAUUGAUUUAGCGAAUUAUUAAAUUAUCGAGUUAACAAUUUAACACGUUUUCACUGAGUAGGGACCGAGAGAAACUAUUCUUUAAUCGAUGUUAUUAAUUUAUCGAGGUUCUACUGUAAUGAUGAAUAUUGGAAUAAAUUGGGUUUCAAGAGUGAUUCAAAUAGCAAUCGAAGUCUCUUGGUAUAAUUACAGUUUUGGUCCCCCAAGUUUGCACGUUUUUCACUGUGGUCCCCCAUUUACCGCCGUCAACAAAAUACACACUAAUGUUGUCACAUGUUAACAGAUUUAGUCCCUCCGUCUGUUUGACCGUUAAGUAGUAAAGGUCAACGGUUGAAUUUGGGGUUUUUCUUUGAGAAAAUUGCAAUAAGACCCCUGUAUUCUUUCAAAAUAUUCUAAAAACCUCUAAAAUUUUAUUCAACCAUAAUUUAACCCCUAUUUCAUCAAUUAACCAAUUUUAACCAAUGACCCCGAUUUUUCAAAAUGUGAUAAUACGGCGUUGAAUUUCUUUUUAACUCGGUUGACUCUUUUGCCAAUUGAUCUUUUUUUUCCCGAUGUUGACCGAUAUUGAAUGUCGGCUUAACAGCGUUGACAUUUUUUUUUUCUUGAUUUUUAUUUUAUUUUUAUUUAAAUUGUUGAGUAAUGGAAAAAUAUAAUUGAAAAAAAAUCAAAGCAGAUAAUCGACAAGAAAAUAUUAUCAUACAAAAAAAUCAAAAUAAAGAAAAAAGGAAAAAGUCAAUGCAUCUCAAUGAUGGAAAAAUUUUAAGACAAAAACAAAAGAUAAAAGGAAAAAGUCAAUGCAACCCAGAAACCGUUGUACUAGAGUGGUUAUCUCAUUUCAAAUUACUCCGCACAUGCCUAAUUCAUCUUCUUCAUAUUUUCUUGGGAAUAAAUUUGGGAUGCACUAGCGGUUCCACGAAGAAAAAAUUGAGGGGAAGAAAUUAUGGAUUUUAGAAUUUUUUUAAAUUGUAUUUGGGCCCUGGAAUAUAAGAUAAAAACUUUGUUAAAAGUUUGUAAUUUUAAUAUUACAAUACUAGAUAUUAAUAUAGUAUUAUUAUUGUGUUAUACAUAAUUGUGUUAAUCGGAAAAAAAGUCAAAGGAAAAAGUUCGUAAAAAAUCAAGAAAAAUAAAAAAAGUCAACAUUGUUAACCAGGAAUACGAUGUCGGUGAACGGCGAAAAUCAAUAUUAAAUAAAAAAGUCAAUGCAUAAAAAAAAAAGUAAAAAAAAAAAAAUCAACGGCGUUCAACGGUCAGCGGUAAUGGUGGUAAAAAUCGGGGUCGUUUGUUCAAAAGUGAUUAAAUGAUGAAAUUGGGGUUAAAUUAGGGUUGAAUAAAAUGUUAGGGAAUUUUACAAUAUUUUAAAAUAAUGCAGGGGUCUGAGUGCAAUUUUUAUUUGUGAAAAAUCCCAAAUUCAGCCCUAAUUCAACAGUUGACCGUUAUUUAUUAACGCUUAAAUAGACAGAAGGACUAAAUGUGUUAAAAUGUGACAACAUUAGUGUGUAUUUUGUUGACGGCGGUAAAUGGAGGAUCAAAAGUGAAAAACGUGCAAACUUGGUGGACCAAAACUGUAAUUAUCCCAAGUCUCUUCCAUGGUGUGAUUUGAUGAUUUUUUUUUGGCAACGAAUAUAUGCAAGACGGAAAUUACUAAGUGCAAGACCUUACUUCAUGCAAGAUCAAAAUAUAAAUAAACUUACUAAGAUCAAGACUGGAAAUUACAAAUAUAUCCCCAAUAUUAAUUUAAAUAUUAUUAAUUCAAAUUAGGCUAAUUGCUAUUGCAAGAACAAAAAAAAAAAAAAAGGAAUAAAAAAAAAGGAAAAAACGAGGGAAAGCACUCUCCCAAGAAAACCCCAACAUCUUCUUCUUCACACUCAUUUUACACACUUUUUUCCACAAAAAAAUCUUCCAUAUUCUCCAAAACCCUCAUCACACAAAACCCUCAAAUCUUACUAAAACUUGAAAAGAAUGACAUUAUGGAUACACAAGACAUAAAUAUGGAGGAUUCUAAGGUCGAAGAACACAAAGAGGUAAGAAAUAUUGUACUUUGCGAUCGUUUUUCUCGUUUUUCGCACCUCAUUUCACGUACAAAAAAUUCGACGUGUACAGGUCGAAAUAUGCUCCGAAUAUCGACACACUAGUGUCGAAAAUUUCAACAUAAAUCGACACUUUUUUACUGUCGAUUUUUAUUGAAUUUUUCGACAUUCUGGUGUCGAUAUUCGGUGCAUAUUUCGACCUGUACACGUCGAAUUUUUUGUACAUGAAAUGAGGUGCGAAAAACGAGAAAAACGAUCAACGGCGACGACUGCAACGACGACGGGGGAUAUUUCUAGUGCUUGUCGACUGCAACGGCGACGGGGGGGUGGUGGACUUCAAUGGCGACGGCGACCGCGAAGGGGGGCGGCAGCGAGUGCUGCAAUUGAAUUUUUUUUUGUUUUCUUCCCUUCUUCCCUCCUCCUCGUUUUUCAAUUCUCGUUUUUCAAUUGGCUUCUUCUUUCUUUUUUUUAUUAAUUUUUCUUUUUUAAAUUGGUCUUGCAAAAGUAAAUUAAUAAAAUAAUGUUUAUUUUGUUUGUAUUUUAUUAAGGUUAUUAUAGUCUUUUUAUACUUAAUUUGAUAAAAAAAAUAAUUUGGUCUUGCCCUAAGUAAAUUUGUAAUUGCAAAUAGUCGUUGCCUUUGUUUUAGGGUUUUUCAACUUGAAAAAAAUAAUAAUAGGGUUUAACUGCAACAAUUCUUAGUUAGAGGGGUUAAAGUCAUAUUAAUGCUUAGUUAGAAGAGUUGAAAUUAUAUUGAUGCUUAAUUUGAGGGGUUGAAGUGAUAUAUAAUGCUUACUUUAGGGUUUAAACUUUAAUUUAUUUAGCAAAUGAUCAUCAAAUAAAAAAGCCUUUUUCCGACGAUCAGUUGUAAAUUGUAAUCUCUCCACUCCCGAGAUUAAACCCCAUAGGUGGCAGUUGCAAUGUCCAUGCCCACCGUCGCCGCCGCCGCCGUCACCGUCACCGGCCGUUAUCCCUCGCCGUAUUCUUUCUCGGCGCACGGUAAUUCGAGGAUGACUACUGUAUUGGUUAAUGUGCUCCGGCUAUGCUCGCCGCCGUGGUUAUGGUGGUGGGAUAUAUACGGAGUAAAUUGGAUGUGGAAAUUCUUCAUCGGAUGGCUAUUUCCAGAUUGUAAGCCAUUAAAUUUACUGUUUUGGUGAAUUGUAUGAAAAUGCAAUUGCCUUUAAUUUCUCUAUGCCUUUUUUUGAUAGUAAAAUUUUGAGUACUUUGGUCGAAUUAAUUGGGGAACCUCAUACCUAAUUGAACUCUUGGGAAAUUCAUAUUUGCAGUGGCUUUUUUUUUUUCUUUCGUUUCCCUGUGAAUUAUUAUAUCAAUGUAUAAGUAUAAGUGAUUAUAUGAUAAUACCGUAAUUUUUUCAACUGUUACAAUUUCUAUUGUCAUAUAUUAAUUUUUACGUUUAUAGAACAAUGUCUUUAGGUUGUAUGCCUUACAAUCCUGUCUGCGUGGCUAUCCUGCUUCUGUCAUACUGGUUACGUUUAUAGAACAAUUGCUGCUCCUUGUUUAGAACUCAUAUUAUCUAUAGGAAAUGGUUCCUGCUAAUUUUACUUCUCAUUGUUUGAAGGAAUAUGGGGCAUGAUCGAGACCUGGCAAGAGAUGUAUUUUCAGUAUCAGGUAAUAUUUUAAUCUGGAUAUUGAAGCCUAGUCUUGGUGCUUAUUGAGUUUAUAUUUUUGGAAUAUGGGGCAUGAUCGAAAAGUGCUUCAUCUGAUAACAUUUAUAUGAAAGAGUAUAUAUCGCAUAAAUGACUGCGUGGGUAAAUGCUUUUAUUGGCGGGGUUUCCCACAAAUAAAUUUUACCCUACCCUCCCUACUCCGUAUUCCCAUUCUACUUUCUCACACAUUCUCUGCAUCUCUCAAUCCCUCGUUCAAUUUUCGAUCUCCAUCUCCUCAUUUUCUCUUAUCAAAGGUUCAAACUCAGAGGAAAAGUUGUUGAAACUCCAAUAAUUGAAAUGGUCACGAUAUGCAUUUUAUAGAAGAAGAUAUUCAUAAAAUGUUAGUUGUACUGUUGGCUUGAAAUGAGAAGAAAUGCUUUAUAUUCUUCUACGUAUAUUAUUGAAAUAGAGAUCCUUUCCAUGUAUCAUAUAUAAUACAUUCAUUUUAUUGUCACGUCUCAUAUUAUUGGCUAGUUUUCGUUCUCUUAAGUUCGUUUUUUUUUAAUUCAUUACAUUUUUAUUUGCUAUGCAGAAUCUAAAUAGAGAAUAAUGGUGUUGGCUAAGAGCGAUCAAGACUGAGAUGAAAUGCCAAAAUACCAAAGAGCAAUCAGUUUUCAGCAUUACCAAAGUAAGUUUGGUACAAUUUACUAGUGGUUCGGGUUUUGUUAAUGAAAUGCCAAAGAAAAAUCUCUAUAUUUUUUUCUUUUUUUUUUUUACAGAAUAUUCAUUUCUACCUAUUCUAGAGGAAUUUCUGAACCAAACCUAAUUGUUUGGUUUUAGUAUUAAGUUUAGCAAAAUGCAAACUGAUAUUUCUGUUUGCUAAUGUUGGAUUUUAUGAAUGGACAAGCCUAUUAGCAGUGGAUAUUGGGCUUAGAUACUCUUUCAGAACUCCAAGAAAUGGUUAAUGAAGAGUCCACAAAACAUAGUAAGGUAAUGUCAAACCCUUCCAAUAUAUUUUGCAAAAUCGUAUACUCGCUAAAUUUGGUUAAUGCUAAUACGUUAAAUGAGCUGGCAUGUUGGUGGAUGGAUAAGACACAAUUUAUUGCGUAUCGCUGCAUUGACUGUCGGUCUUAUUACGGCAGAUUUUCUCACCACUAUAUAACACUCGUUUUCCCUGCCCCCAUUCAUUCGCAUAUCGCCAUCUCUCUAUUUUCCUUUCAUUUUUUUACUUUUCUUGUCACCAUUUUCUCAGAUUUAAGGAUUUUUCUUUAUCGUUGGUUGAAAAUGAUGAGAUUUGUGUUCGAUAUCUUUUAGUUUUUAAUUUAGUUUUCGAUUGCGCUUUUUUUUUUUUUUUUCUUUCUUAUUCUUCGUUGGUCUCCACCUUAUCCCCUUAACUGUAUUAGACAUUCAGUUUUCUAUCUUCAAACCAUUUUCUGGAUUGAAGGGUUUUGAUUUAUUUCUGGAUGAAAAUCAGAUGACACAUCUGAUUGGACAUAAUUAAUUUUAUUUUAUUUUUGUUUUUGACUUUUAUAUUUUCAUUAUGCUUGGUUUACUCAUCCAUUUCUUUCUGUUCAAUUUUCAUUAUUUCUCUGGAAAUUCUUGAAAACAUGGCAGCUCUUACUAUGGAUUUGGGUGAAAUCAUCUAUAUACCAGUUUGAUUGGAAAACUAGUUUUUUCGAAUUCAAACUGCCUAAAGAGUCCUAUGCUCUGCAUGAUCCACACCUCAGUAGUGAAUCUCAAAUUUUUUUUUGCGAAAUUAGAUAUACAAAAGUGAGAACUAAGGGUUCCUAUGUUAUAUGUUAAUAUCUUCGUCUUUCGGUGUGACAAACGCUAAUAAACUCAAACAAUUGUCCUCAGCGUCACAUGUGUGGUAAAGAUAUAGUUGUUGGAUACAUCAAAUGCAGUUUGAAGGAUUAUUGCGUUCUCAGCAUCACUAAGUUGUGAAUACUUUUUGUUGUUGAAGAUACUUUUUCAUUUCAGUGUUUCAGUUUUAUGUUAAGCUACUAAAAUUACAUCUUUUGCAUCUGGAAAUUCUUUGACUGGAACCAAUCUUGUGACGUAGGCUUCCAAAUUGUCACAGUCGAAGAAUUUCUACGACACAAAAGAUUUUAGUAGUGUCUAACAACUGAGCAUUGAAGUAUAAAAUGUCUCCAACAACAAAAGUUCUCAACAUUUAAUAAUGCAUGAAACGGGAUGGUUCUUUUUAUUGCAUUUGGUGCAUCAUAAAACUAUUUCUUCAUCAUUCUUGUGGCAUUGAUGACAAUUGUUUGAGUCACUCUAUCAUACUCGAAGACAAAAAUGUUAACAUAAAAAUCUGUAGUUCUCAUCUUUGAAUAUCUUUUUUUGUGAAGAAGUUGGAGAGAGAAUAUCUUGUUUUUAUGAGACGUGUUAUUGCACUUUCAGUUGUCAUUAGUACCCUAAUCGAUGUUGCUAUUAGAGACUUUCUGAUUUUAGUAAAUUCUUUGGUUGAAAUUCUGAUUUUAGGAUGCUAUCGUUACUUUCUAACUUGUUGCCAUCUAGGCUUCCAUCUUGUUAAGAACGUAAAAACUUCUGUUAAAAUUUUAGUUAGAAGCUUCUUUCCUUAUACUGACAACGCACUUGGAUAGAUGCACGCAGAAAGCAUAUACUAUCACAUUCCUCCGUUGGUCUCUAGUUAUUGCAUCGAGAAGAAUUCAACUACAUAUAUCUGACUUUCAAAGUUAUGUUAGAAAAGUGUUUUUCAUAUUUCAAAUAUUACUGAGAAAUGAGUAUAUGUAUGAUGUGAAUUACUUACUGAGUUACUUUGCGUUUUCUGUUCUGACAAAAAUAUUUCUGCACCAUUAAACAGUGAUACAUUUUAAAAUCAUCACGAUUUGCUUAAUAUUGUAAAAAGAUCUUCCUGAUUUAGUAUUUAAGGAUGAAGGGUUUUUGCAGAGAGACCCGUCCGAUGUGGUAAUAUUUGUAAUUUUAAUGAUUGUUUACGGUGUUACGUGGUCAAUAAAGUAUGUAUUAACCAAAGUGAUCCAAGGGUGUCUUAAGUUUGCAUUAUAGUGAAAAAUGCAUUUGGAAGAAUCUUUUUUGUACACACACACACACAAUAAAAUUGACACAAUACAGUUAUAAAAGAUAUGCAAAUGCUAUGCGAAUGAGAAAUUUAUAGUGGAGAAAGAUAAUUUUGUAUGAAGCACCAAUUCUGGAUGUUUUGACAACGAAUGAUGUACUAUCAAAUUGAAUACGUCCUCAUUUGGUUGUUACAAUGAGGUGACCAAGAUAAGAUUAUUUUAAUUUUAUUAGGGUCCAAUUGUAUAAAUGCACCAAUUAAUCUAUAAGAGAAGGGCACAAUUAUUUUCUUUUCAAUUUUUUUAGAUGCUCCCAAAAAUUAUUGAAUUAACUAAAUAUGAAAUAAGAUAUAAUUAGUCAUGAUUUAUCUUGUUAACCAACAAAGCCAAAACAUUUUUGAGAGCGAUUUUUUUUUUUCCCUCCUGAGAGACUUUGAUAAUCGCUUGAUGUAAAUAUUCAUUAUUGAACAUAAUUAAUUAUGGUAUUGAAGAAAGUUGAUUUCCUCAAUUUGUGUUAUGUAUUUGUUGACACUUUUUAUGUGUCGUGGUAAUAAAAUAGUUGAAAUUCCAAAAACUAAAAGCUUUAGAUUUCUAUCAUUUGUAUGGCUUGUGCACAAGGAAGAAUGAAUAUGGUCAGGAUAUGCAUCUUGAAAAAUAUAGCUUAUAGUCGAGAAUGGAAAAUAAGAACUUCCAUUUUCAGGAUAUUUUAUGUUAUAGUAUUUGGUAAUAGCUUUAUUAGAGGAAUAUUUGGUCAAUGAGCUUACAUUUGUUUUUAUGUAUUGGAUGCUUAGCUAGUUUGUCCGGAAAUCCGUAUUGAAGUGUUGAACCACACAGCGCUGUUUUAAGCAGCAGUGUACUUUAGUUGCAUAAUGCUCUUACUAAAAAAUAAUCUCCUAAUUGGUAGAAGCAGCUUAUAUUACAUAAAACUUUUCUGAUUAGCUAACUUUAUUUUUCAGCUUCAAGAUUUCAUGAGAAAGAAAAAUGGGAAACUAACUCUUGGUACACUAGACAUCGUGGUUGCAUCUUUUUUCUUCUUCGCUUUUUCGGGUUUAAAAGAAUAAUUGAAAUAAUUUAAAGUUUUUAACGUAUAGGGAUUACUCACGAUUAAAUGAAAAUGCGCCAGUAGUAAAUCUAUAGGUGCAAAAAAUUUGCUCAUAAGUUGUUUGAUCUUAAUCUGGUAUGGGGGCUACAAAAGUUUGGGUUGAGCUCCAAAGUUAUAUGCAUCUAAUCAAAACAACAUCAAAUAUCUAUAUUAACCUUUUAUUGCACUGUAUAACUUGGCACUUCUUUAGCUUAUUGAGCAGAAAUCAAGCUAAACUUGAUAAAUAGGCUGACUAAUAUGAUAUCAAAAUUUACCAUUCCUAGAAAAAUUAUGCUGAAAUGAUCUACUUAGCAGUUGGGUAGAUGUGUACGGUUUGGUAAACCGACCGAACCAAAACCAAAGCCUUAGUUUGUACCGAAUACUGAACUGCUAUCCUGUUUGAUAUUCGUUUUCCAUAUUUCACAGUUUUAGUUCGGUGCUGAUACUUUUGGUUUAAGUUUAUGCAACUUUUUUUUUUAAUUCAUUUAGAAUUUUACAUGUAAGCUAUUUGGAAAAGCAAUCAAGAUCGAGAUGAAAUUUUUGAAAUUUCCAAAGAGCAAUCAAUACCAAGAAUGGCAAUCGGUUUUCAGCAUUGCCGAAAUAUGUUUAGUGUAACUUCAUUUGUCUGCAAUUCAGUUCUCCCUGGAUAUUUACGAAUUUACCGAGCCAAACCAAAUUUUUUGGUUUUUGGGUAUUAAGUGUUGCAAAAUGCAAAAUGAUAUUUCUGUUUUCUAAUUUUGGGUUUGCUGAAUGCACAGGCCUAUUAGCAUUAGCAGUGGAUAUUGGGCUUCGAUAAGAAGUCCAAGAAAUGGCUCGUAGAAGUUAAAAAACGUAGUAAGGUACUGUCAAGCCCAUCCAAUAUAUUUUGUUUCCGUAUAUUGCUGCCAGCUAAGAAUUGUUAAUGCUAAUACGGCAAAUGAGUUAUUGAGUUGGUGGAUGGAUAAGUCAGAAUUUAUUGCAAUUGACUGUCGACCGUAUCACGGCAGAUUUUCUCACCAUUAUAUAACACGCAUUCUCCGUGCACCAAUUCAUCCACCAUAACUCCAUUUCUCUAUUCAUCUUUCAGUUUUCUUCUCGUCAUUUUUUCCGAUUUAAGGCCUUGCUUGAUUUUUUGGUUGAAAAUCAGAUGAGAUUUGUGUUUAUAUCUGUAAUCUGUAAGUUUUUUUAUUUCAUUUUGUUUUUGAAUGAUGCCUACAUUUGUUUCUUAUUCUUGUUACACCUCCCUCCCCGCCUCCCUAGCUGCAUUCAACUUUCAUUUUUCAACCGUGUAAUCAUUUUCUCGGAUUCAAGGAUUUUGAUCUAUUUCUGGUUCAAAGUAACAAAGGACAUAUCUGAUUUGACAUACAUCAUUUUUUUUUAUUUUGUAAUUUUCGAUUUUUCAUUCCCUGUCGCCUAGUUGUUUCCGUCCAUUUCUUUUUGUCCAGUUUUCAUUCAUUUCUACUUUGGAUUAAUGAUAGAUCUCAUCUCGAUUUGAAGAUUAGUUUUCUAGGACAAGUUUUUGUGUCGUAGUUAUGUUGCUUCUCUUUCUGAUGAUUUUUUUUUCCUUGUAGAGUUAUCAAUGAAGAAAUAUCCUCUGCCAGAAAUAUGCAGAGGAACGAGCUCAAGUUUAAGGUAAAUUUCGUGAAAGUCAAUUAUGACAGAUCUCUUAGAACCAAAGAUUGAUAAACAGAGAACAACAGGGAUCUGUUGUUGUUUUUCAAAAAAAAAAUAUCUAGUCUUCAGUCACAAAAUGAUUUAGUAAAUAAACUUAUCUUAGUUAACUUAAUCAACAGAUCUUAAUUAACUUAAUCAACAGAUCUUACAUUAGAUACCCUUGUGAAAUGGAAGGAAGCUAUCUAUACUUAUUUUUGAGAGGUUAUAUCCGGAACUGUACAUCUCUUAUAAUUUCACUCUCGUAAAGUAAGAUAUUCAAAAAGUGAGGACAAUGAGUUCCUAUGUUAACAUGUUUGUCUUUGGGUAUGACGGAUGAAAAGAAGUGACUCAAACAACUGUCAUCAAUGCCACAAUAAGGACAAAGAAAAUGUCCUACAGAUUCGGCGACGCAGUUUUCGUACCAGCUGGCUGCCCUCACCAAGCUAGAAACCUAAAGGUUUGAAUGUCUGGCUUGUAUACAACCAACGACUUCAAUUAGUUUCAGUCGAAUGUAAAUUUUUCGUUGUCAAUUUUGCAAUUAACUUUGUGUACGAUGUUCCAUCUUGCAGUCGUGCACAAGUAUGUCUGUCGACUUUGUUUCAGCAGAAAGUGUCGGUGAGUGGAUCCACCUGUCAACGGAAUAUCGGUUGUCUCCCUCACAAUCAUAGUUCUAAGGAAGACAAAUUGCAGGUAUGUAAAAUAAUAUGAUUGUCUUGUCAAUAACUAAAAUCGGAGAUAUAUAUAAUGAAUAUAAUGAAUUGGAGACAUCUAACGGCUCGUAAUAAAACAGGUGAAGGGAUUGGUUCUCAGCGCUGUACUUGGACAAGAUUGAUGCGUAAGUCAUAUAUGCUUGUUAAACAUAUGUCUUUAUACGAUACGAUGUUAAUUCAUUUUAUUUUAUUAUUUACCAGUAUUACGUUAAAAAGUCCAUUUGUACCACCCUCUUUUGAGCAUGGGAACGUACGCCAGAAUCCAGCUCAGCAAGGGGAGAAACCUAGUCUUUCACAAAUGAGGAGGGAGUUGGAGCGGAUAAACUCGGCUCUCGAAACGAAAGGCCACCUUUUUCAACCCCAUAUGAAAGACUCUUAAAAGAGAUUCCGCUCCUCACUGACAAAAUAAGCUUCAAUAUGCUCUUUCAGAUAUGGUACAUUUGCACCCUCUAUACGCAUCGGAAUGUACAUCGGAAUCCUGCGCUGAUGAAAAAGAAUGUGUUGGCAGGUGAUUAAGUUUACUCUUGAAAGAAUGUGUAGCUAGAAACUAUGGAGACCCUCUGGCUGCUGUUAUAUUUAUAUAUACUUCAUUAUUGUUUAACAUGAUUUUUGGGUAAUUGGUCGAAUAUGUUGGUGAGUAUUUGUUGAUUAUUGUUUUUAUUUACUAUAUAUAUAUAUUUUGGUUAUUGUGAUAAUAAUGCCCUAAAUGUGCCAACUGCUGCAAUUUCUGUUGCCGUACAUUAAUUUUUAUCUCCCAAGAAACUCCAUGGUCGUAGGUUAUGGAAAGGCGUGUUACGUUGUUUGACUUACAAUCUUGCAUGCGUGGCUAUCCUGCUUCUCUCUGUUGUAUUAGCUACUAUAGGAUUAGCAUCAAUUAUUGUUACUCCUUUACUAUACGUUGUUUUGUAAAAAAAAUCAAAUGUUUUUCGACCAAAAAACCGAAAAAAUUAUGACAUCUUAUUGGUAACUUGAUGGUCCCUACUAAUUUUUAUUCUUAUUGUUUGAAGGAAUAUGGGGCAUGAUCGAGAGUUGGCGAGAGAUGUAUUUUCAGAAUCAGGUAAUAAUUUAAUUUGGAUGUUGAAGAGUAGCCUUAGUGCUCUUUUAAGUGUCAAAUAAUCGGAAAGUGCUUCAUCUGAGAACAUUUAUAUGAAAAACGAAAUGUCGCAGAUAUGAAUGCGUGACUUAGUUAUUCAAGACUAACGGAUAUGUUAAUAAAGCUAUUAGUUAUUAUAUGUCUUCAGUUAACUUGUUCAAGUAUUGAUCAAAUAUAUUAUACACAAUUGCAAGUGAUAUUACUCUUCGAUAUGUUCAAACAUCUCAAAAGAACUUUGGUUUUAGGAAAAGAAAUCGUGCCGGAUAUUUGGUAGAUAAAACAAUCGGGAAUGAGGUUUUUAGCAUCACUCCUUGAGUUUUUGCUUUUUUCAUACCUAGGUAAACUAAAUUAAUGGCUCAAGGAAGUUCACAAUAGACUGUAUGGUACAUUUCAUAUCUCGCCAAAUGUCAUUUUGCUGACAGCUAUGGUUGAUGUAACUGCUAAUAUGUAAAAUUAGCUGGCAUCGUCACUGGAUAUGAAGCAAUUUAUUAGGGGUCGAUACAAUCAAUGCUGACCUUAUCGGAUUUACUAGCGGAGUUUCCCACAAAUAAAUUUUACCGUCCCCUCCCUACUCCCAUUCUUCUAUCUCGCCCAUUCUCUCCAUCUCUGUAUCCCUUGUUCGAUUUUCCAUCUGCAUCUCCUCAUUUUCUCAAAUUAAAAACUUCUGUAUUGUGUGUGGUUCAGAAUCAGAAGAGUUUGUGAUCUGAUUUAGGUGAUUUUAUAUUACCUUUUCUUGUUUUUCCCUUUUUUUGUUCUUCUUAAACUUGAUGAACUGAGUUUGCUAUCUAAUUUCCAUCACUUUCUUGUUACAUUUCAUGACACGAUAUCUUCUAUUUUAGAUUAAAAAAGAACAUGCGUUUGUCAUCUUGAUUUUGAAGAUUAGAUUUUAGGAUUAGUUUUCUUACUCCUCCUUGCUGAUUAUUUUAUCGUUUAUGUUGUAGAAACUAAGGCUAUGUUUGGUAAGAUUUUGCACUUUCGUUUCCAUUUUAUAUUUUGGAGAAAGAUGUUUUGGGAGAAGAAUUUGAAAAUAAAUAAAGUGUGUUUGUGUUUUGAGAAAAGACAAUUAUGCUGUAAUCAAUCAAAUCAUGUCUGAAAAGUGUUGGGAAAAUGUAUUUUGUAAGAAGAAUUUGAAGGAUAAAAUGAUUUUAAUUUUUAUUUUAGUGAAGAAUUUUUUACUCAAAUCGUGUUUGAUUGAAUGAGAGAAGUAUUUGAAUUUUUUUUGGAGAAAGUCUUUGAAAAUAUUGUAGAAAGAUAAUUUUAUUUUUGUGAAAGAGUGAAAAAAAAUUGAAAAUGGUAACAAACAUAGCCUAACAAUUUUGAAAAAAAAAAUUUCUUCUAUAAAUAAGGUUGGUUUAAUCACUGCAUGUAUUCUUACUUAUAAUUAAAAAUUAAAAUAACUAAUGUAUAAUUAGUGUGGUGCAAUCCUUAUGAAGAAACCAAUAACCACUAUUAUAUACUUUAUGUUUUUUUCCUUAACCUUUAUCUCCCACUUUUUUUUUUGUGGUAGAAUUUAGAGGACAAAAAAUCAUUAGUCGGCAUAGGUUACGUGAACAUAUUAUUUUUUUUAUUUUAAUGGUUGAAAUAUUUAUUAAUAGAUUCUGGUGAACUAGUUACUAGGACCAGUUUUAUUGUCAGUGUGCAUAAGUAGUAAGUAGCAAUAAUUUAAAAUAGAUAUUUUUCUUAAAAUGUCCUUCAGGAAUCCUAAUUUGAGAUUUUUUUCCUGGGCCCUCCAUUUUACAGGCAUGGUAAGUAAAAACGUUUUUGGUUAGUGAGAAGGAAAAUGAUUUACAUAUUUAUGUGAAUCAGCAUAAGAUUGCAAUAGUCAGUAUUAUAUUGCAGUAAUAUGUAUAAGUAUGCAAUAGUCAACAUUAUAUUGCAGUGAGCAGUAUCGGAUUACACUAAUCAACACAAUUUUCCUUUUUUGCUGGUAAGACAUCCUUAUUUCAUUUUCCCUGGAACAAUUAUGCAUACAUUUUGCCAUUGCAGUUAAGAGAACGUGGUGCUCUGACUGAGAAAACAAUUGAAAACCAAGAUUUAUCAAGGCAAUUAAUUUUCGGGGAGUUAAAAUGAUGCCAUUGAAAAGUUCAAAUGGAGAAACAUCUUCUGCUGGAAAUAUGCAAAUGAACGGACACAACUUAAAGGUAAAUUAAUAAUGUUAAUUGUAGCAGAUCUAUCGAACAAAACAAUGAGAAACAUAAAAUAACAUGUUGCCUUCCUAGUAUUAUGUAUAUCAGUUGAGAUUUAAAUUUCUAUAAGAUUUGAUAUAAGUAUAUAGGUUGCAGAAUUCAGUUAUCCAUGCAAUUGUCUUGUAUCAACUACUUUUUAGAAGUAAAAAAUCAAAUUGCAUUUUGUGUUUGUCUUUUCAACGAGACCCCAUGUGUAAAUACCAAGUUAGAAAAACCCCUUUUCAGACUAUUCAUAGUGAAAUUACUUUGACUAAAUACAUUUAUUUGUAAGUGUGGAUUCUUGGAUUUUGUGAUGUUGGUCUUGAAUUAUUUAGUCUUCAAUCAUGAAGUGAUUUAAUGUAAAUAAAUGUAUCUUUGUUAUUUUAAUCAAUAGAUCUAAACAUUAGAUAUCCACUGGACAUGAAUAUAUAUAUAUAUAUAUAUAUAUAUAUAUAUAUAUAUAUAUGUAUGUAUGUAUAUAUAUAUAUGUAUAUAUAAUUUAAGAGUAAAAGGAUACAAAUGUUUGGAUGAUCUGUCAUAAUUUCAUAAUAUUCAGAGGUGUCUAAAUAUUGUUCAUAAAUAACUUGAUGGCGGCAGAAAACAAUGAUAUGUCACCACAAUUAAAGUUAAGAUCCUAAAGAAGAUUAUAUCCAGAACUGUAGAUCUCAUCUAAUUCAUUCCAUUGCCAACUUUUCAUAAAGUACUAUAUUAAAAAUCGAGGAUAUACUCUAUGUUAAUAUGUUUUUCUUUGGAUGUGGCAGAGGAAAAGCAUCGACUCGACCAAUUGCCAUCAAUGUCAUAGAAAUGACAAAGAAAAAGUCGUGCGAUGCACCAAGUGCAAGCAUAGGGGUUAUUGUAUUCUCUGUAUCAAUAAAUGGUGAGAAAUUUUGUUGCUUGAUAUAUUAUUUGCUGCUCUUAUGUUGGUACUUGGUAUAUCUUACAUGGUGGUUUGUUUUUUGUGAUAUGGAUAAAUGUCAUUUAAGUCAUACUGAUUAAUUUUGAGUUUUACCGCCACAAAGUAGGAUGGUAUAUUUAUUAUCUUCUCUUUGGAAUAAACCUACUACUCAUUUAGUCAUUUAUGAAUGGAUUUUUGCUUAAACAUGUUUCAAAGUAAGGGCUUCCCUUGGUUCUACACUAACAUUAUUCCUGCAUUUUCUUCAUAUUAUAUAUAUAUAUAUAUAUAUAUAUAUAUAUAUAUAUAUAUAUAUAUAUAUAUAUAUAUAUAUAUAUAUAUAUAUAUAUAUAUAUAUAUAUAUAUAUAUAUAUAUAUAUAUAUAUAUAUUUUUUUUUUUUUUUUUUUUUUAUCGUCGAUGCUCGUGCAUAUAGAUUUACUAUAUCUCUGUUGUAAUCACAGGUACAGAGGGCUGCAAGAGGCAGACUUUGCUGAAGCAUGCGCAGGCUGUCGCAAAAUUUGCAACUGUACAGCUUGCAUACAUCCUGAUCUGGAGAAUAAAGUUAGUAUUAAGGUUCUUCUCUUGAUUUUAUAUUAAUAUAGUAUUUUAUAUGUUUUCUAAUUAAGUCUCUUGUUCUUGCAUGUUAGGACUUGUUCAUACCAGACUUACAGCUCGACAUCAACAAAAAGGUCCAGUACUCAAAAUAUAUUAUUAGAGUACUUCUUCCUUCUUUUAGGAAGUUUGUUGUUGAGCAGAACGUAGAAAGAGAAGAAGAGGCAAGAAUUCAAGGUAACUUUAACUUUUGUCGGGAGGUUUUAACGUUCACCUGUAUUACACUUUCUGUUUUAGGUGUGCCUUUGUUUGUGUUACUAAACACUCACGGCUAUUAUCCUACCAAACAUGUAUAUUGAAUUGUUUAUUCAACAAAUAUAAUAAAUAGAAAAGGAUUUUAUAUGUUAACAGUUUCCGUUAAUGUUAUGUGCUACUCCAUUUCAGUGAUUUAUGAUUUUGAGGUAUUAGUGAGACGUACCUGGAGAUAAACAUAAUUGAUAGAACUUUUGAUUUUCCCUAGCCGAUGUAGUUUUAUUUGAUUAAUUAUAAUAUAUAUUUUGGUUGGGCAGGUGUUUCAGUUGCGGGACUACAGCUUCCGAAAGCCAACUUUAUCCACGGCGAUAAAGUCAAAUGGUGGAUACUUUUAACCUAUGUCGUUUUCUUGAUAAAUGUUUGCUUCAGUAUGCAAAAUGUUGAUAAUUAUAACUUGUGCUGUGCAGCGACAACUGUAAGACUGCAAUAUUCGAUAUCCACAGAAGUUGUCUAAACUGCAUGUACAAGCUCUGUGUAACUUGUUGCCGAGAGAUAAGGAAUGGCUUCCAAUGGGGAAAUGAUAAAUAUCACGUUCAUCAUGGGGGUCGUACUUUUACAAGCAAUGACAGAUUUUCUGCAACAGCCUGUUGUUCUAUGGACCACACGAGUUUUACUUCUGAAUGGAAGCUGAUAGACAGAGGUACCAUAGUUUGUCCACCUGAAGUAAUGGGGGGAUGUGCUCAUGGGAAUCUGGUGUUAAAGUCCACAUAUCCAGAUAACUGGGUAUAGGAACUGCUAAUUAAAGCAGAGUCCGUCGAUCUCGAGGUGUGUGAAGUUUCCGAAGAAGCAUGCUCAUGUUCAGGGAGUGCAGUCCGUAAUUUCCGUUGUUCCACUGUUGUGGGCGUUGACCAAACGCACUUCCAACGGCACCUAUAUAAAGGUGAGCCUGUGAUAGUCCCUGACGUGCUCAGCAGGACGACUGGGUUGAGUUGGGAGCCAUUAGUCAUGUGGUGUGGUUGCCGCAAAUCUAGAAGGACUAAUGACACUCGCAUUCUGGAAUUCAACGUAACGAAUUGCGUAAAUUGGUGCAAGGUAUGCCGACUUCUCUAUUAUGUUUUACUCUAUCAAUCAAAAAGUUUUUAUUUGGAAUUUUGUGAUUGGAUGACUCUCACGUUCACUUAGUUUUACAUUCUUUUGUUUGUUAUAAUAUUAACAAAUGAAUUUUCUAAUAAAUCAUGUUGUUCUUCGUAUACCCCCCCCCCCCCCCCCCCUUUGUUUUCUCUCAAUCGUGAUCUUAUUUCUUGUAAUUGAUUCUAGGUUGUAUUCUUUAUGUUCUUGAGCAUUCACUUGCUGCAAAUGGCUGCAGUAUUCUAUUGGUCCAUGUAAUCUUUCAAGAAAAGAACCAAGUAACAGAAAUACUAAUCGUUUAUUUUCCUUAGUUUAAUUGUGUCAACCUUCAAAAUUUCAAAACUUUAGUUCGGUUAAUAAGUGUCUAACACGAAUUUGGAUAGGAGAAAGCAAAGAUCUGACGAUUCGUCGUACUCGAUAUGUUUUCUUAAAUAGAGAUGUUUUGAUAGAUUUGCUCUUGAUGUUUUUUUUUUGCAUUUAAUUGUAAUGAUUUGAUUUUGGGACUAUGACACGCAGGAAACUAUAAACAUGCACCAAUUUUUCAACGGGUAUUCUGAAGGCCUCUUGGACAGUGAAGGCCGGCCCAAAAUUUUGAAGUUGGAGGAUUGGCCUCCAACUGAAUCCUUUCAAGAACGGCUGCCUCGGCAUUUCGUGGAGUUCAUUAGAUGCCUGCCUUUCAAGCUAUACACACAUCAAGCUGGCUACCUCAACAUGCCAGCGAAAACACCUAAAAAGUCGUUGAAGCCGGAUUUGGGUCCAAAAAUAUGCUUUGCUUAUGGAGUCAAUGAGGACCUUGGCUUCUGUU
RNAcentral lists this long non-coding RNA (25716 nucleotides) under Erythranthe guttata (spotted monkey flower). RNAcentral's name for it is "long non-coding RNA (EGUT_LNC003489)". Lineage: Eukaryota; Viridiplantae; Streptophyta; Magnoliopsida; Lamiales; Phrymaceae. The record is from RNAcentral.